GACGAACGCUGGCGGCGUGCUUAACACAUGCAAGUCGAACGAUGAAGCCCAGCUUGCUGGGUGGAAGAGUGGCGAACGGGUGAGUAACACGUGAGUAACCUGCCUAUCACUCUGGGAUAAGCGCUGGAAACGGCGUCUAAUACUGGAUACGACCUAUCACCGCAUGGUGUGUGGGCGGAAAGAUUUAUCGGUGGUAGAUGGACUCGCGGCCUAUCAGCUUGUUGGUGAGGUAAUGGCUCACCAAGGCGACGACGGGUAGCCGGCCUGAGAGGGUGACCGGCCACACUGGGACUGAGACACGGCCCAGACUCCUACGGGAGGCAGCAGUGGGGAAUAUUGCACAAUGGGCGCAAGCCUGAUGCAGCAACGCCGCGUGAGGGACGACGGCCUUCGGGUUGUAAACCUCUUUUAGUAGGGAAGAAGCGAAAGUGACGGUACCUGCAGAAAAAGCACCGGCUAACUACGUGCCAGCAGCCGCCGUAA
RNAcentral lists this ribosomal RNA (483 nucleotides) under uncultured bacterium. RNAcentral describes it as "partial 16S ribosomal RNA". It matches the Rfam family "Bacterial small subunit ribosomal RNA", at positions 28 to 523 of the family's 1533-position model. The record is from RNAcentral.